UACGUAGGGUGCAAGCGUUGUCCGGAAUCAUUGGGCGUAAAGAGCGUGUAGGCGGCUCGAUAAGUCCGCUGUGAAAGUCCAGGGCUCAACCCUGGAAUGCCGGUGGAUACUGUCGGGCUCGAAUCCGGAAGAGGUGAGUGGAAUUCCUGGUGUAGCGGUGAAAUGCGCAGAUAUCAGGAAGAACACCCGUGGCGAAGGCGGCUCUCUGGAACGCAACUGACGCUGAGACGCGAAAGCGUGGGGAGCAAACAGG
RNAcentral lists this ribosomal RNA (253 nucleotides) under uncultured bacterium. RNAcentral describes it as "partial 16S ribosomal RNA". It matches the Rfam family "Bacterial small subunit ribosomal RNA", at positions 524 to 776 of the family's 1533-position model. The record is from RNAcentral.